This 377-nucleotide ribosomal RNA is filed under the name Microhyla beilunensis. RNAcentral's name for it is "partial small subunit ribosomal RNA". It matches the Rfam family "Bacterial small subunit ribosomal RNA", at positions 874 to 1396 of the family's 1533-position model. The record is from RNAcentral. Lineage: Eukaryota; Metazoa; Chordata; Amphibia; Anura; Microhylidae.
UAUUUAUUUACACCCAUAACCGCCUGGGAAUUACGAGCUCAAGCUUAAAACCCAAAGGACUUGACGGUGUCCCACCCACCUAGAGGAGCCUGUUCUAUAAUCGAUUCCCCCCGAUCUACCUCACCACUUCUAGCCUCUCAGCCUGUAUACCUCCGUCGUAAGCUUACCAUAUGAACGAAUUCCAGUGAGCUAAAAGAUUUUACAUAAAUACGUCAGGUCAAGGUGCAGCCCACGAUGUGGAAAGAAAUGGGCUACAAUUUCUAUAAUAGAACACAACGAAAGACUACAUGCAACUCAGUCAUGAAGGUGGAUUUAGUAGUAAAAAGAAAGUAGAGAGUUCUUUUUAAUUAGGCGCUGGGACGCGUACACACCGCCCG